Molecule: long non-coding RNA, 560 nt
Filed under: Nicotiana benthamiana
Lineage: Eukaryota; Viridiplantae; Streptophyta; Magnoliopsida; Solanales; Solanaceae
Description: long non-coding RNA (NBEN_LNC021389)
Source: RNAcentral
CAGCUGAAUAUCUGAUGUACUUUUGGGAGUUUUUACCACUCUCAACCAAAGGCCUGUCAUGCAGGAAAAACGAGCAUUUUACAUCAUCUCAACUUUCCUAUGGAAUUAACAACAUACGAAAUACUGUGUUUCAUCUCAUAUGACACUAUUACAUAUUUGAGCAUUUUACAUCAUCGCAACUUUCCUACGGAAUUAACAACAUAGGGAAUACUCUUAUGUUUCAUCUCAUAUGACACUAUUACAUAUUUUGUUAAGUAUAAAACUUGUGACUUAUAGUACUACUUUAUGUAGCUUCUAACUGUGUAAAAUUUAUUCAGGAAAGAGUAAAGACUGGAUUUACAUAAUUAGAAGGUUAUACCCUCCUAGCAAUGCGACUUAUUUAAAGCAUGAAGCAAAAGAACGCUCUGUGUCACACAUUUGAAAGAUGUCAAGUGAUCAAAUAGUCUUAUUUUUUCUGUUUUUCUAUUUAUCGUCUGAAUAGUGAGAUUGAAUUUGAAUGAAGAGUUAAUAGAAGAUGGAAUUGAAAUCUUGUUUCAUCUUCACUUGACUAUCUAGCAACA